RNAcentral lists this ribosomal RNA (1461 nucleotides) under Streptomyces sp. JJH-1. RNAcentral's name for it is "partial 16S ribosomal RNA". It matches the Rfam family "Bacterial small subunit ribosomal RNA". Lineage: Bacteria; Bacillati; Actinomycetota; Actinomycetes; Kitasatosporales; Streptomycetaceae. The record is from RNAcentral.
AGCGAUAACACCCUUCGGGUGGGAUUAGUGGGGAACGGGUGAGUAUAACGUGGGCGAUCGGCCCUUCGCUCGGGGAAAGCCCUGCAAACGGGGUCUAAUACCGGAUAACACUCUGUCCCGCAUGGGACGGGGUUAAAAGCUCCGGCGCUGAUGGAUGAGCCCGCGGCCUAUUAGCUUGUUGGUGGGGUAAUGGCCUACCAAGGCGACGACGGGUAGCCGGCCUGAGAGGGAGACCGGCCACACUGGGACUGAAACACGGCCCAGACUCCUACGGGAGGCAGCAGUGGGGAAUAUUGCACAAUGGGCGAAAGCCUGAUGCAGCGACGCCGCGUGAGGGAUGACGGCCUUCGGGUUGUAAACCUCUUUCAUCAGGAAAGAAGCGAAAGUGACUGAACCUGCAGAACAAGCGCCGGGUAAUUACAUGCCAACAACCCCGGUAAUACGUCCGGGGCAAGCGUUGUCCGGAAUUAUUGGGCGUAAAGAGCUCUUACGGGGCUUGUCACGUCAGAUGUGAAAGCCCGGGGCUUAACCCCGAGUCUGCAUUCUCUACCUGCUACCUGGAGUGGGGUAUGGGAGAUCGGAGUUCCUGGUGUGGCGAUGAAAUCCGAGGGAUUAACCCCGGGUGUGCACUCGAUACGAGCUAGCUAGAGUGUGGUAGAGGAGAUCGGAGUUCGUGGUGUAGCGAUGAAAUGCGCAGAUAUCAGGAGGAACACCUAUGGGGAAGACGGAUGUCUGGGCCAUCACUGACGCUGAGGAGUGAAAGCGUGGGGAGAGAACAGGAUUAGAUACCAUCGUAGUUCACGCCGUAAACGUUGGGAACUAGGAGUUGGAGACAUUCCACGUCGUCGGUGACGCAGCUAACGCAUUAAGUUCCCCGCCUGGGGAGUACGGCCGCAAGGUUAAAACUCAAAGGAAUUGACGGAAGGCCGCGCAAGCAGCGGAGCCUGUGGAUUAAUUAGACGCAACGCGAAGAACCUUACCAAGGCUCGACAUAUACCGGAAAGCAUCAGAGAUGGUGCCCCCGAUGGGGUCGGUAUACAAGUGGAACAUGGCUGUCGUCAGCUCGUGUCGUGAGAUGUUGGGUUAAGUCCCGCAACGAGCGCAAUCCUUGUUCUGUGUUGCCAGCAUGCCCUUCGGGGUGAUGGGGGGUCACAGGAGACUGCCGGGCUCAACUCGGAGGAAGGAAGGGGGGGAGUCAAGUCAUCAUUCACGGCCUGUAUUGGCAUGCACACGUGCUACAAUGGCCGGUACAAUGAGAUGGGAUGCCGCGAGGCGGAGCGAAUUUCAAAAAGCCGGUCUCAGUUCGGAUUGGGGUCUGCAACUAGACCCCAUGAAGUCGGAGUUGCUAGUAAUUGCAGAUCAGCAUUGAUGCGGCGAAUACGUUCCCGGGCCUUCUUCACCCCCCCCCCCCUAUCACGAAAGUCGGUGGCUUCCGAAGCACGGUGGCCCAUUACGGCGUGA